Molecule: transfer RNA, 66 nt
Filed under: Rhizophagus aeneus
Lineage: Eukaryota; Metazoa; Arthropoda; Insecta; Coleoptera; Monotomidae
Description: tRNA-Trp
Source: RNAcentral
AAGGAUUUAAGUUAAAUGCUAAACUAACAACCUUCAAAGUUGUGAAUAGAGAAUCUCUAAGCCUUA